Molecule: long non-coding RNA, 373 nt
Filed under: Piliocolobus tephrosceles (Ugandan red Colobus)
Lineage: Eukaryota; Metazoa; Chordata; Mammalia; Primates; Cercopithecidae
Description: lncRNA (ENSPTEG00000010901.1)
Source: RNAcentral
AAUUCAAGUUACUCUAAUAUUACAUUAUUGAUACAAUAAAGUAUAUUCAUAGGUUGCUAGGUAGAAAAUAGGUUACUCUCUUCUUUUUGCAGAUGGUGAAACUGAGGCUCAGGGAUUCAAGAAAAUUGUGCAAUUUGACAUCAGAAAUCAGGGUGAAGACGCCUGAGGAAGGUGAGGAGGGAAGCAGGCCUACAAAGAAGGAUGGGGGCAGGCCCAAUGUUCCCAACUGGAAUUGAAAAGGAACCAACUCAUCAGGUUUCUCAGUCACCCUGAGACCGGCUACUUUUGAAGAGUUAAAUCGGAAGGAAAACGCAGUUUGGAAGACGGUGUUUUACAAAAAAAUAGAAAAGAAACUGCUUGAUUUAUGUGAUCU